This 549-nucleotide ribosomal RNA is filed under the name Vibrio parahaemolyticus. RNAcentral's name for it is "bacterial LSU rRNA". It matches the Rfam family "Bacterial large subunit ribosomal RNA", at positions 2400 to 2925 of the family's 2925-position model. The record is from RNAcentral. Lineage: Bacteria; Pseudomonadati; Pseudomonadota; Gammaproteobacteria; Vibrionales; Vibrionaceae.
CGAAAGCAGGUCAUAGUGAUCCGGUGGUUCUGAAUGGAAGGGCCAUCGCUCAACGGAUAAAAGGUACUCCGGGGAUAACAGGCUGAUACCGCCCAAGAGUUCAUAUCGACGGCGGUGUUUGGCACCUCGAUGUCGGCUCAUCACAUCCUGGGGCUGAAGUCGGUCCCAAGGGUAUGGCUGUUCGCCAUUUAAAGUGGUACGCGAGCUGGGUUUAGAACGUCGUGAGACAGUUCGGUCCCUAUCUGCCGUGGGCGUUGGAAGAUUGAAGGGGGCUGCUCCUAGUACGAGAGGACCGGAGUGGACGAACCUCUGGUGUUCGGGUUGUGUCGCCAGACGCAUUGCCCGGUAGCUAAGUUCGGAAUCGAUAACCGCUGAAAGCAUCUAAGCGGGAAGCGAGCCCUGAGAUGAGUCUUCCCUGAUACUUUAAGUAUCCUAAAGGGUUGUCGGAGACUACGACGUUGAUAGGUCAGGUGUGUAAGUGCUGUGAGGCAUUGAGCUAACUGAUACUAAUUGCCCGUGAGGCUUAACCAUACAACACCCAAGGGGUUU